Gallus gallus (chicken) is the source of this 2344-nucleotide long non-coding RNA. Lineage: Eukaryota; Metazoa; Chordata; Aves; Galliformes; Phasianidae. The record is from Ensembl.
CCGCUCUGGGCAACAUGUGCCAGUGCCUCAUCACCCUUAUUCUUUAACUGAAGAAGAAACAAGCAGCUUUGCCUUUCUCCAUGGUUACCUGUGUGACAGACUGGGAGGAUACCUCGCUAAUUAAAUUAGAAUGAGGUUUGGCCAAGUAAUGGGCACUUUCCAGUGGCAACGCAGGAAAAGAAGAUAGAGGCAUUCAUGCUGUUUGAGAUGGACAUCAAAUGAGUUUAAUGCAGAAAAACAGCAAUUCAUGUAUUACCCUCUUUGCUGGGAAACCAAAGUGAGUUCUGCUUCUGAUAAUGGCACCUCCUAGAAAUUGGGCUCAGCUCAUCUGCUCCUUUCAUGUGCACCCCAUGCAGCUCCAGUGAGCUGGGAAUAAUGGCUUUGCCAUUGUGUUUACUACUGUGCCUAGGUAGGAACGAGCUGAAGCCUCAGAAAAUGAAAAGGCUGAUAAACCAUUUGCUAUCCUUUAUUCCACUGAACAAUUUUUUCUUCAUCAUCAUUGUCGUUCUCUUUUCCAAGUCAGACAACACUGCUGAAUGAAAUAGACUUUGGAAACCAAACUCAGGCAUAUGUUGCAAGGGUAGAGGUGGGCUCUGCUGCUGUGGCAGGUGAAAAUUGGUUCUGAAGGUCACUGGAAUUGUCAUACUGAACUGCCUCCUUUCCUUUCUUGUGUUGGUUUUCUUUGGCUUUUUUUCUGUUCCCCUUGGGUUCUGCUUUCCUUUUGUUUUACUUGCUGACUGUCUGCAAUCUGCAGCUGUUUGAAGAGACAGUUAAAAAGGGAAACACAUAAAUUAAUGGGUUGGUUUGCAGCAAAAGACUGUAUACAGUGCUUUACACAGACAUCUUCUCAGGUCUUUCUUUUCUGACUAGCCCUAAGAGCUCCUGCAUCAUUUUCCUUACAAUGUUGGUAUACUGAAUCAGCCUAUGUAUUGAGCUGAGCCGGUUCCUGUGAGAUCUGUGAUGGUAGUUCAGACUUCCAAAUGGUUAUAGUCAGACAACAUUCACAUCUGUACUUUUUUUUCUUUCUUUGUAUUCUCCGGACAACCCUUUGGGGGUAUAGGGGGGGAAGGUUUACUAUGAUACCUAAUUUGAAAGGAAUCGUUUUAGAGUAAGGAUGUAAAGCAAAUUUUGCUUUUAAAAUUGUGAAAUGUUAGAAAUGAAAAUCAGUUUUUGAAGGCUUUUUUUUAGUAAAAUGAGAAAUUACCAUGUGAGCAAUAGAUCAUCCUGUUAUUGUUUGUGGACAAAGCUUUUUGCAUUUGCAAGGAGCUAAAUAAGCAGUGUUUACUGAGUUUACAUUCCUAGUCAUUAACAUGUGGGAAUGUUAAUGUUUGAGUAAGAAAAGUGGUAUUUGACAAAUUAUUCACAGUCUAGGUAAGAGGUACUCAAUUUAUAUUUUAUUAUUGUGAUCUUUUGGUCUGACCUCCUUUAUAACACAGAAGAUGAGACUUAGGUUAAUUAAUUCUUAACUGAAGCACAGCAGAAAGGUGUCAUGUCCUGCUUUAAAAAAUGAAUGUGGUGGAGAUCCCCGCAUAAAAUGCCACAGAGGUUAUUUGUCAUCUUUGUUAGAUUUGUGCUUUAUUUCUAACCUGAGUUACAUUGAUGGUAGUGUUAUGCCAUUGUAUCCGAGUUUAUAAUUGUUUGUUGCAUUGAAGAACCUGUUAUUAAUAGCUUUUUCCUCAUGUCAGUAUUCCAGUCAUUUCACUUUGUAAUAUGUUGUCCUUGACAAAUGGAGCAGAUGCCAGCAUGACUCAGAUUCCCCUAAAUGCCAGAUUAUAAUAUAUUAUUAAUAUGUCUUUUUAUUAUUGCUAUUAUUUUACAUUCUUUGGUAAAACUAUUUUUUUCAGGAAAGAUCCUUACAAUAUUUUGUAAUUGCUUAGUGCAUGAUACAUUUUUGUGUUUAAAAUUUAAGGAAUACUUUGAAAUUCACAACCAGAAUGGUCUUCCUCCAACAUGGCUUUUCCCAGCAGGACCAGUCAGGGUAUUGCAAGGCUUCCUAUGCAGCACUGGUCCAGACAGGGGCUCCUUAAUGCCCCACAUCUCCCAGUAGCCAUCCAGAGAUCGAUACCAUCUCAUGAUAUAUUUGUAUGAGCUUUACUGCUUACCUACAUAACUUUAACUGAGCUAGGUGAGCUAGUCACUUAGGUAAUGCACAAGUGCUUCUACCUCUUCACCUUUCUUUCUUUCAUUUUUUUUGUUUUCUUUUCCUGUAUAUGUUGUUCUGUAAUACCCUCUGUAAUCAUUUCUCUCAAAAAAGAAAUACCUGUACAUACUCUUCUUUUGAAAUAUGUAAUGAGUUUCUUCAAGUGUAUGUGUUACAAGCUGAUGGAAAAAAAAACAUUUUAUG